AUAGCACCAUAUAAACUCGUCUCA
Molecule: non-coding RNA, 24 nt
Filed under: Arabidopsis thaliana (thale cress)
Lineage: Eukaryota; Viridiplantae; Streptophyta; Magnoliopsida; Brassicales; Brassicaceae
Source: RNAcentral